This 74-nucleotide transfer RNA is filed under the name Atrobucca nibe (blackmouth croaker). RNAcentral's name for it is "tRNA-Val". It matches the Rfam family "tRNA". Rfam says of the family: Transfer RNA (tRNA) molecules are approximately 80 nucleotides in length. Lineage: Eukaryota; Metazoa; Chordata; Actinopteri; Sciaenidae. The record is from RNAcentral.
CAAGGUAUAGCUAAGACAAAUUAAAGCAGCUCCCUUACACUGAGCCAUCAUCCGUGCAAAUCGGAUUACCCUGA